Molecule: long non-coding RNA, 557 nt
Organism: Mesocricetus auratus (golden hamster)
Lineage: Eukaryota; Metazoa; Chordata; Mammalia; Rodentia; Cricetidae
Exons: 4
Source: RefSeq, a predicted model, not a curated record
GUGCUAGAACAUAGGUGGCGACCAAUGAAAAUUUGACUAAAGCCCCAAAAAUACUAGGCUCUGCCUCCAACAUGCCGGAGUCCUUACAGAAACCCAUCAGAAGGCAGACAAACAGUCAAAAGUGUUCACCUCUUGGCUUCCUCAUUCCACGGGUACUGAGUUGUACAUGUUCCAGAUCUCCACCAACCCCAGGGAAGCCCUGUGCUCACUGCCUGGAAAAUUCCAUCCUCAAAGCCAAGUUGAGAAAGCAACAUGAAAAAAAAAAAUAGCAAGGCCUAUCGCUGACCCUUGUGCUUGCGACAUUGUCCGCAAUGGAUUCUGAACCGAGCACUGUUCACUGACUCAUCGAAAAGUGACCAGCGCAGCCUACCACGGUUGAACAAGAAAAUCAUGUGGCAUCAUAAACGUGGCCCAGCAAUAAAAUUCCAAAAAAGAAAAGACCUGAGUGUAAAUACUACCAACAUCACCACCAAGGAGACUCAUGUCCUUACGACCCCAGUUCAGAGGAGAGAGCUAAAGGCCUUUGGGUAAUUACCUCACUCUAGUGGAGGUGUCCC